AUAAACUUGCUGUAGCCCAAAAGCCAGUGACCAGCCCUCAAGCCCCGUGCCCUGGCAGCCGGUUGGAUACCAUGGGACCAACACCCCAGUGCCUUCACCAGGUGCCUGUUCACACUGCCAUGCUUUGACACUGCUGUGCUGGUUCCUGGAGCUUCAUCCCACUGAGCUCCUGUGACACCACCGUGCUCGUUCCUGGAGCUCUUUUCCAUUGUGCUCCCCACCCGCAGGGUGCCCGGACAGUGCCCGUGGGGUCAGGGUGGGAGGCGUGCAGCGUUCCUGGUUCCACAGCCCUGGCAGAGCGGGGGCAUCUGUGUGGCGUGUGGUCAGUGGCAUUUGAAGUCAGUUUCUCUUUCAUCCCAGAUGAGCUGCUUUAAUCCCGGAGCUGUCCUGGCUUUUCCUCUCCUCCGCUUGACUUCACCUGUGGUGAGAGGCCAUGGAGUGCGAGCACAUCUUCAGAUUUCAGCCUUGUCCAUCAGCCAGUGCACCCAGAGAGCACCUGCCCAAGGAGCAGCCAUAGAGCAGCAAAUGUGAGGGGGAAGGAGCCUAAACCAGGAUCGUGGGGACAAAUUAGCAGGUGCCUGUGGAAUAUUGCUCACUCCGUCUGCGAUUCCGGAGCCUACACACCCUGCAAAUCCUCCUCAGUGCUCAGAGAAGUGACCCUGCACUCGGUACUGACCCUGCAGAACUUGGAGGCAGAUUUAAAAAGAGUUCCGAAAUCUUCUGUUUAUUUCUGUGAAUUUUGGAUCCAAUUCCUCUAAAUCAAAGAUAAAUAAAGUUUACAGUGAGACAGUACUUGGCAAGAACACAAUUUCCAACCCUCCUCCUCAAAAUCUCUACUUCCCACUCAGUUCAUGCCCUUUUUCCCUACAUUUUCCCUACAUAUUUCAGCUGAAAUCCAGGACCACAGCAGAUGGUUCCCACUGACUUUUCCAUGCCCUUUUCCCAUGUCAGCACCUUGCUGAUCUCCUGCUCCUUCCUGGGAUGCUCUGACCAGGUACCAUUUCCCUGAGGCUGCAGCAGCCACUGUGACAUCCAUAAUUAGGCAAGUUUAAGAGCCAGAUUCUGCUGACAGUCACAGAAGCAGGAUGUUACAUUCUUCUAUAAGCAGACAUGUAAAUAAGAGACAUAUUCCAUGGUCUCUAUGUCAUCUAUCCAUGGAAAACAACCCUCCUACGUGCUGCUCUUGCAGAGGCGUCAGUGUGGGAGUCCCCGGAGCGCUGCCAGAGUGUGGCUAUGCUCUGGGGGCACAAGGUGAUGGUGCCACCAUCACACACCACGUGGCUUCUUCCUGGGCAAAACCUGCACCCAUGGCCACUCUGCCAUUUGCUCAUGGCACUUCCUAAGAUUGGGAUUAUCAGGAUUAAGCAAGGAGCCCUCACAGCUGCCCUGCUGUGGUUGUUAAAACUCCCAUUGUAAUUACAGCAUGGAAUAUUGUACGGAAUCAGGAACUGAUGUGUGACUUGCACAGUGCUUAGCCCCAAACUGACGCUUCCCCAACACCCUGCAGGGACCACCAUGUGGCUCAGCCCCACAUGCUGCAGACCAUCCUUGGCACAGGCUCAGCACCAACUCCUGGCAAAUCCUGUGUCCACCAGAGCCUACAAACACUGGACAUCCAAGCCUUGUAACACGAGGGUUACACACUACAGGGCAACAGCGAUGGAGAAACCAAAUGUUCUGCGCCUGUUGGAAGACAGAAUCCUGCACCUGGUUGUUGUACACCUUUAUUGAGCACAGCAAACGCAGCCCGGCACCUCUUGCUGGGCACACAAUCUCCAGGUACAAGAAAUGGCAUUUUUGUGGGUGCUCCUGUCUCAGAACAAAGCAUCACAGCCCCCAGGAACACCCUCAGACCUCCCAGCGCUCCUUCAACAAACCAUGAGCCCAAUUAACAGUUACAUUCUGCUUUGUCAAGGCAUCUGGGGUGGUGCAGAGGGGAAGAGGCCAACACAGCUCUGCUGGUGCUACCAGGCAGCCCCACCACGCUCACAUUAACCGUGGGACCUGCCUCCAGGCUCAUGUUUCCAGCUCUUCACUCAAGUUCUCCUCUGCAGCACCUGAAGGAAGCAAAGCACGGCCCAGCUUGGAUUUCACCCCCAGAGGUUUCUGUGGGGUGGAAGCCGAGCCAGCACCGGCAUUGUGUGGGAACCUGCCAGCAAACAUGGGCUGUGCGGGGUCAGCGUAAGGACAGAGCUUUGGAAUUGUCUGCUUUAAUCCUUAAACAAAUCAAGUAAACAAGCUUUGUUAAUGCCUCCGUUGUUGUCUGAGCGGUUUCACACCUGUGGGACCCUCCUUGAGCCAGCCAGAAGAAUGGAAUGAGGAGUGUUCACCAGGACACCGGGCUCACACCAGCCCCCCUCCAUCCCAGACAAUCCACCCUCUGUCAUUAAUGGAGAAGUGGGAAGACUUUGAUGUGGCUUCUGUAAAUGCAUCUCAAGCACCUUGAGGUCUUUGAGGAGCCAGCAGAGACUACUUGGGGUUCCACAAGGCAGGGGACAAGGAUCCUACCAGCUCCUAGGAUGCACUGGAACAAGACUGAGGGUCUCCCCCGGGCAGUUAAUCCAUUAAAAGGAAAAAGUGGCUCCAUAACAUAUGGGAUUGACAGGCAGCUUCCUCAGGAGCAGAGGGAAUGAUGAUGGCAAGAAGUUAUUUAGAGCAGCCAAAAUGGAACUAAAUGUAGAGAGUGCCAGGAAAACGGUAUUAAAAAAAAUAAAAAUCAAAAUCCAGGUAAAAGUGAUGCCUAUGGAGAAAACAGACACGUUUGCACCAUCACACCAUCCCCGUUCCUCAGGCAAACCCAACAGUCCUGGAUCCAACCAGCUGACCAUUGUGAAGCCCUACACUGCCUUGAGUGACCCCAACUCAGCAGGGUGAUGCUUUGGCCAACAUGUGCCUUCCAGCUUCAAAACCUUCCCCUGAUACAGAACCCACUCUAAAUCCCCCCCAACUGGUGUUCAUGGAUCAUGAUUUUGUGAUUAACACGAGAAAGCACCUCUUCCCAGUUUGAACUGCUUGGGCUUUAACCAGUGGCCUUUGUAGGACCACUG
Molecule: long non-coding RNA, 3047 nt
Organism: Pseudopipra pipra
Lineage: Eukaryota; Metazoa; Chordata; Aves; Passeriformes; Pipridae
Exons: 3
Source: RefSeq, a predicted model, not a curated record